Molecule: ribosomal RNA, 492 nt
Filed under: uncultured bacterium
Lineage: Bacteria
Description: partial 16S ribosomal RNA
Rfam family: Bacterial small subunit ribosomal RNA
Source: RNAcentral
AGUGAACGCUGGCGGUAGGCCUAACACAUGCAAGUCGAACGGCAGCACAGUAAGAUCUUGCUCUUACGGGUGGCGAGUGGCGGACGGGUGAGGAAUACAUCGGAAUCUACUUUUUCGUGGGGGAUAACGUAGGGAAACUUACGCUAAUACCGCAUACGACCUACGGGUGAAAGCAGGGGAUCUUCGGACCUUUCGCGAUUGAAUGAGCCGAUGUCGGAUUAGCUAGUUGGCGGGGUAAAGGCCCACCAAGGCAACGAUCCGUAGCUGGUCUGAGAGGAUGAUCAGCCACACUGGAACUGAGACACGGUCCAGACUCCUACGGGAGGCAGCAGUGGGGAAUAUUGGACAAUGGGCGCAAGCCUGAUCCAGCCAUACCGCGUGGGUGAAGAAGGCCUUCGGGUUGUAAAGCCCUUUUGUUGGGAAAGAAAAGCAGCAGGUUAAUACCCCGCUGUUCUGACGGUACCCAAAGAAUAAGCACCGGCUAACUUCGUG